UACGAAGGGGACUAGCGUUGUUCGGAAUCACUGGGCGUAAAGCGCACGUAGGCGGAUAUGUCAGUCAGGGGUGAAAUCCCGGGGCUCAACCUCGGAACUGCCUUUGAUACAGCAUAUCUUGAGUCCGAUAGAGGUGGGUGGAAUUCCUAGUGUAGAGGUGAAAUUCGUAGAUAUUCGGAAGAACACCAGUGGCGAAGGCGACUUACUGGACACAUAUUGACGCUGAGGUGCGAAAGCGUGGGGAGCAAACAGG
Molecule: ribosomal RNA, 253 nt
Filed under: uncultured bacterium
Lineage: Bacteria
Description: partial 16S ribosomal RNA
Rfam family: Bacterial small subunit ribosomal RNA
Source: RNAcentral